Molecule: long non-coding RNA, 968 nt
Organism: Sitodiplosis mosellana (orange wheat blossom midge)
Lineage: Eukaryota; Metazoa; Arthropoda; Insecta; Diptera; Cecidomyiidae
Exons: 3
Source: RefSeq, a predicted model, not a curated record
CAUGUGUGCAAAAUCAGUCGAACUGUGGCUUUAUCCGAUUUUUACACUAUCCUGGACAUCUAUUUAUGUUCCACAUUUUCGCACAAUCUGCAUCAUCAGCUAGCGCAAUUGUAUUGCUAACAUUGCCGCUAUUUCCUGAUAACUGGAACAUUAAGGCUAAAUCACCUUAUCACUAUGCCGAGCUUUUCCUACUGGUUUUCUACACUAGCUGCUUAUUUGCAUCCAAAUGCACCAUUGGCAGUCCUUUUUCCAUAAGAAAAAUACUCUGUGGCGCGGUGCCGAUUUUGUGUGGAUAUAUUUGUGUCACGCUAGUCAAAUUGAUCUGUUUUGAAAAAGAUAUUGAGUUCAAUUAUGCGGACUCUAUCUUGCUUUGAAUGUGCUGCUUAACCAUAGGUCGUCAGUGGUUUUUGGACAUGGAAAUUAAUCCUCAAAAGUAUGGGCAAUAUUUCCGAAAAGAGCGCAUCAUAGCGGCCAUAGAAAAACAACCUGGCGAAAUCAAGAUGGUGCGAGUAAAAAUAACCGUGAACAAAACGAAUUAAAAUAUUUUCCAACACCUACAAGAAUGGGUUUAAACAUACAAAAAUAUGUAAUUUGGACUUGGCUCUGUGAAAAUGCUGAUAUAUCAUCAUUUCCUGGUGAAACUUUAAUGUGACAAAGAGCUACGUACGAUGUCCAUAUAUAAGCGCAUACAUAGCGCUAGAUGUACAGCACUGAACACAAACAGUUUGCUGUUAAACGAUGCACGAUCGGGCUGGCAAAAAUACACCGAUUUUAACGUAUGUUUAUUUUAUGUGGUAGCAACAACGUCUAGAUUGGGGUGGUUUAGUGGCCAGAAUUUGGUCACGUGCAGCGUAUGAAUGAGCCGAGUCUUCCUAAAUUCAUUUCUAUCUCCUUAAAAAAAGGGGAGAAUAUGACAGGAAUAGGAAGACUCAAGACCUGGCUCUCGAGAGGUUAUGAUUUGGAGGAAA